UCGAAGCCAAAAAAUGCAAGAACAAACUAUUUACUCCACAAAUGGGAGUUGUACCUUAUCCGCUUCCUGAAGCACAGGGGUGAUCAGUCCACCAUUGAUAGCCACAUCCACAGCUAUAUUUAUAUUACUAUUGUAAGUGAAACUUUUUCCGUCUUUACAACUAGCAUUCACCACAGGAUGCUGAACCAAUGCCAUUGCUGCAGCUUUUGCCAACAACGCGGUCAUGGUCACGCCCUUGGGCUUCACCUAUCAUUCAUGGAGAAAUCCUAGUAUUCAACAUUCUGUAAAAUGAGCUGUUCUUUGUACGAGCAGUAGAGGUGCUGAAUUAUGUAAAUUCAUGACAGUACA
Molecule: long non-coding RNA, 348 nt
Filed under: Salvia miltiorrhiza (redroot sage)
Lineage: Eukaryota; Viridiplantae; Streptophyta; Magnoliopsida; Lamiales; Lamiaceae
Description: long non-coding RNA (SMIL_LNC008093)
Source: RNAcentral